UACAGAGGUACCAAGCGUUGUUCGGAUUCACUGGGCGUAAAGGGUGCGUAGGCGGUCGGGUAAGUCUGACGUGAAAUCUUCAAGCUUAACUUGGAAACUGCGUCGGAUACUAUUCGGCUAGAGGAAUGGAGGGGAGACUGGAAUACUUGGUGUAGCAGUGAAAUGCGUAGAUAUCAAGUGGAACACCAGUGGCGAAGGCGAGUCUCUGGACAUUUCCUGACGCUGAGGCACGAAAGCCAGGGGAGCAAACGGG
This 253-nucleotide ribosomal RNA is filed under the name uncultured bacterium. Its description in RNAcentral is "partial 16S ribosomal RNA". It matches the Rfam family "Bacterial small subunit ribosomal RNA", at positions 524 to 776 of the family's 1533-position model. The record is from RNAcentral.